CAUCGUGCUGGUCAAGCAGGGCCAUGAGCCUCCCACCUUCAUUGGAUGGUUCUUCACUUGGGACCCUUACAAGUGGACUGUGAGUGAGGCCUGAAACCCCCAGCCCCACCCUAAUUUGUGGGGAGAGGAACCUGACCUGGCUGGGGAUUGCCAGUGUGUGCGAGAGACCUGGUCUUGUCCUCAGGCCCCUCCUGUGUCCCAUUGGUGCCCCUUCUCCUGCCCUGGCCCUGAUACUUGCCCCGAUUCUUGCUCCAGAGCCACCCGUCCCACAAGGAAGUGGUGGAUGGCAGCCCGGCAGCAGCAUCAACCAUCUCUGAGAUAACAGCAGAAGUCAACAACUUCCGGCUAUCCAGAUGGCCGGGCAAUGGCAGGGCAGGUGCCAUGGCCCUGCAGGCCCUCAAGGGCUCCCAGGACAGCUCAGAGAAUGAUCUGGUGCGAAGCCCCAAGUCGGGUGGCAGCAGAACCAGCAGCUCCGUCA
Molecule: long non-coding RNA, 478 nt
Filed under: Pan troglodytes (chimpanzee)
Lineage: Eukaryota; Metazoa; Chordata; Mammalia; Primates; Hominidae
Description: long non-coding RNA NONPTRT011352
Source: RNAcentral